This 369-nucleotide ribosomal RNA is filed under the name uncultured organism. RNAcentral's name for it is "bacterial SSU rRNA". It matches the Rfam family "Bacterial small subunit ribosomal RNA", at positions 526 to 896 of the family's 1533-position model. The record is from RNAcentral.
CGUAGGGUGCAAGCGUUAAUCGGAAUUACUGGGCGUAAAGCGUGCGCAGGCGGUUUGUAAGACAGGCGUGAAAUCCCCGGGCUCAACCUGGGAAUUGCGCUUGUGACUGCAAAGCUGGAGUGCGGCAGAGGGGGAUGGAAUUCCGCGUGUAGCAGUGAAAUGCGUAGAUAUGCGGAGGAACACCGAUGGCGAAGGCAAUCCCCUGGGCCUGCACUGACGCUCAUGCACGAAAGCGUGGGGAGCAAACAGGAUUAGAUACCCCUGGUAGUCCACGCCCUAAACGAUGUCAACUGGUUGUUGGGUCUCUUCUGACUCAGUAACGAAGCUAACGCGUGAAGUUGACCGCCUGGGGAUACGGCCGCAAGGUUG